RNAcentral lists this small RNA (404 nucleotides) under Drosophila pseudoobscura pseudoobscura. RNAcentral's name for it is "GA32619". The record is from RNAcentral. Lineage: Eukaryota; Metazoa; Arthropoda; Insecta; Diptera; Drosophilidae.
UGGCAAAGGCCAGGCACCACCGCCAGCAGGUUGUUACCACACGAAUGUACAAAUAUUGGAAUGCCGUAGCUGACACGUUUCUUGCAGCUAUCGCCAGCACUUUCCACUUUGGUGUCGGAAGAAAUGUCUGUAAAUAUAUAGUUUUUAAUUAUAAUUUGCCGAAGCAGCUGGAUCAGGAGGUGGAGACGGUGGAGUAGAACACUUACCAAAUGAGGGAUAUGAUACUCAUCUAUCAUGAUGCAAAAAGCUCGCCAUCCACAAUUGGCACUCUUUGGAAUGUUCUAAAAAGGAACCUGCGCUGACCGGUUGUUGGGUCUGCUGCUCCUUGGGCUUCGGAGUGAGAGUACCUUUGGCCUGUACCGUGCCCGUAUGUUGCUUCUGGAGGCUAUCCGUCUUCACUUCAC